CCGCCAGAGAACUACAAGUGAAAAACUUAAAACUCAAAGGANUUGGCGGUGUCCCACACCGAUCUAGAGGAGCCUGUCCUGUAAUCGAUACCCUCGGCUCAACCUAACCUUAGCUAGUCAUAUUCAGCCUAUAUACCGCCGUCGACAGUCUACCCCAUGAGGGUCCAAUAGUAGACACAAUAACCCCUCGCUAACACGUCAGGCCAAGGUGUAGCACAUGCUAAGGAAGAGAUUGGCUACAUUUUUAAAAUUUAAAAAUUACGAAAUGCAUCAUGAAACCCUGCAUAAAGGUGAAUUUAGCAGUAAGCU
RNAcentral lists this ribosomal RNA (309 nucleotides) under Meroles suborbitalis. Its description in RNAcentral is "partial 12S ribosomal RNA". It matches the Rfam family "Bacterial small subunit ribosomal RNA", at positions 869 to 1344 of the family's 1533-position model. The record is from RNAcentral. Lineage: Eukaryota; Metazoa; Chordata; Lepidosauria; Squamata; Lacertidae.